AUGAACGCUGGCGGCGUGCCUAAUACAUGCAAGUCGAGCGAACAGACGAGGAGCUUGCUCCUCUGACGUUAGCGGCGGACGGGUGAGUAACACGUGGAUAACCUACCUAUAAGACUGGGAUAACUUCGGGAAACCGGAGCUAAUACCGGAUAAUAUAUUGAGCCGCAUGGUUCAAUAGUGAAAGACGGUUUUGCUGUCACUUAUAGAUGGAUCCGCGCCGCAUUAGCUAGUUGGUAAGGUAACGGCUUACCAAGGCAACGAUGCGUAGCCGACCUGAGAGGGUGAUCGGCCACACUGGAACUGAGACACGGUCCAGACUCCUACGGGAGGCAGCAGUAGGGAAUCUUCCGCAAUGGGCGAAAGCCUGACGGAGCAACGCCGCGUGAGUGAUGAAGGUCUUCGGAUCGUAAAACUCUGUUAUUAGGGAAGAACAAAUGUGUAAGUAACUAUGCACGUCUUGACGGUACCUAAUCAGAAAGCCACGGCUAACUACGUG
This 496-nucleotide ribosomal RNA is filed under the name uncultured bacterium. RNAcentral describes it as "partial 16S ribosomal RNA". It matches the Rfam family "Bacterial small subunit ribosomal RNA", at positions 29 to 507 of the family's 1533-position model. The record is from RNAcentral.